Molecule: ribosomal RNA, 506 nt
Filed under: uncultured bacterium
Lineage: Bacteria
Description: bacterial SSU rRNA
Rfam family: Bacterial small subunit ribosomal RNA
Source: RNAcentral
GACGAACGCUGGCGGCGUGGAUUAGGCAUGCAAGUCGAACGGUAUCAUCCUUUCGGGGGUGAGAGAGUGGCGAACUGGUGAGUAACACGUAGGUUAUCUACCCUCAAGACGGGGACAACCCAGGGAAACUUGGGCUAAUACCGGAUGUGAGCAACUUUUAGUUGUUUGAAAGGUGGCGUAAGCUGUCGCUUGGGGAUGAGCCUGCGUCCUAUUAGUUAGUUGGUGAGGUAACGGCUCACCUAGGCAAUGAUAGGUAGGCGGCCUUAACGGGUGGUCGCCCACACUGGGAUUGAGAUACGGCCCAGACUCCUACGGGAGGCAGCAGUCGAGAAUAGUCUACAAUGGUCGGAAGACUGAUAGUGCGACGCCGCGUGAACGAUGAAUCCCUUCGGGGUGUAAAGUUCUUUUAUAUGUGAGCAGUGCUUCUUAUAUUAACGUAUGGGGAAGAGAUAUUAGCAUAUGAAUAAGCAACGGCUAACUCCGUGCCCAGCAGCCGCGGUAAACCG